UUAAGUGACGAUAGCCUAGGAGAUACACCUGUACCCAUGCCGAACACAGAAGUUAAGCCCUAGAACACCGGAAGUAGUUGGGGGUUGCCCCCUGUGAGAUAGGGAAGUCGCUUAGC
RNAcentral lists this ribosomal RNA (116 nucleotides) under Streptococcus pneumoniae. Lineage: Bacteria; Bacillati; Bacillota; Bacilli; Lactobacillales; Streptococcaceae. The record is from RNAcentral.